UACAGGAGAGCCAGAAACCCGAAGGAACUUCUAUUUACUCGUUGACAUACAAGGCAUGUACAGCUACUGGAAGAUGGGAGCAAGGAAUGACAGGGGCUGUGGCUGAGACAAAUGAGGUAGAAACCAACAAAGAGGAAGAUAUGGAAUAUAAAAAAGGUGAAACUAACCCAAGAGUCUAAUGAAAAACAAUUCCAGAGUGAAGCUGUGCACAGGGUUUACAAUCUAAAUCAGAAGAGGAAGUCAGUGGGCCGCGACUAGAAUGUCUUCAAGAAGAAAAAAGAAAUGUAGUCUGUGCAGAAGAUAUAAUGACUAUAGAAAUGGAUGGUAUCAGCUAUAUGGCAGUGAAUAGAUAAUGUCUUUUAAAUUGAAAAGUCAAGAAAUGGCACCAACAGCACAUAAUUGAAAGUUGAAAAAGAAAAGAAAGUUGAGAGCAAGUCUGAAGGGGUUAAUAAAGACAGCUAUCAGCAAGACUUCAAGCAGAAGAAAAAUUCUGGCUCUCAACACUGACUGCACGACCAAAGGGUGGAGAAGAACACAGUACCAGUUAAAACCAAAGAACAAAAGUUUCCUUUAUCUCCACAGCAUAUCUAUAGUAUGGGAAAGCCAUUACUUUAUUUACAAAGAUCAACUUAACUAAAGCAAAGUUAAGGUGACACACCAUUAAAGGCAUUUAAACUAAUAAGUGCUAAAAUUUUAUCUGUGCAUUUAUGUGUGUGUGCUUUUGAAAAAAAAAAAAAAAAGAUCUGAAUGCUAUAUUGAAGUCCCCACUGGAUAAGUUUAUUUUGUAGUUUAUUGAGUGUAUUAAACAAAGGACA
Herpailurus yagouaroundi (jaguarundi) is the source of this 815-nucleotide long non-coding RNA. RefSeq lists it as uncharacterized. The transcript is spliced from 4 exons. Lineage: Eukaryota; Metazoa; Chordata; Mammalia; Carnivora; Felidae. The record is from RefSeq and is a predicted model, not a curated record.